This 505-nucleotide ribosomal RNA is filed under the name uncultured bacterium. Its description in RNAcentral is "bacterial SSU rRNA". It matches the Rfam family "Bacterial small subunit ribosomal RNA", at positions 28 to 526 of the family's 1533-position model. The record is from RNAcentral.
GAUGAACGCUAGCGGCAGGCUUAACACAUGCAAGUCGAGGGGUAACAGAGAAAAGCUUGCUUUUUUGCUGACGACCGGCGCACGGGUGCGUAACGCGUAUGCAAUCUACCUUUUGCUAAGGGAUAGCCCAGAGAAAUUUGGAUUAAUACCUUAUAGUAUGAUGACUUGGCAUCAAGAUAUCAUUAAAGAUUACGGCAAAAGAUGAGCAUGCGUUCUAUUAGCUAGUUGGUGUGGUAACGGCAUACCAAGGCAACGAUAGAUAGGGGUCCUGAGAGGGAGAUCCCCCACACUGGUACUGAGACACGGACCAGACUCCUACGGGAGGCAGCAGUGAGGAAUAUUGGACAAUGGAGGCAACUCUGAUCCAGCCAUGCCGCGUGCAGGAAGACUGCCCUAUGGGUUGUAAACUGCUUUUAUACAGGAAGAAAUACCUCUACGUGUAGAGAUUUGACGGUACUGUAAGAAUAAGGAUCGGCUAACUCCGUGCCAGCCGCCGCCGUAACAC